UCAGUCCUGUGAUUUUGUGUAAUUAUUGGACUUACUUUGAAAUUAAGGUAAAUGAUACCCAAGGUAGAGCAUGAAAAAAAAGAAAAAACAGGCUAUGGUGUUUGAAAAACAAACAAAACCAUUUGGUUUGUUGGUUUGUUCUUAGACCUUCACAGGCUCCUAGGUCACACGUUUCAGUUUCUUAGCAAGUGGCAUUCUCUGCAGAAGCUGUGUCAGUCUCUGUUUGAUGAUGUCAGCCACAGCAGAAAGAAGCACUCCGUAGGCCCCGUGCUCAGCACCUUGGCGUGAGCUCCUGCCAUCUUCUGUUCAUGCUCAUCACAGCUCUGUGCAGUGGGCAUCCUCCUGAUCCCUGUGGGAGGAUGGAGGAUGGAGGCGGAAGGAUUUCUUUGCAUCGUCUCCCUUAUCCAGAAGUGAGGGUGAACGCUGAGUUAUUCACGGGAGUCAAGAAACCACACGCAGCCCAAAGAGACGUUUGUUUCCCUGGAAUGAUUUGUGUGUGUUCACCUUAAAAUGCAACUUAGUAAAACAGGUGUGUUUUGAGGAAUGACUUUAAAUUACCCAGGUAAAAAUGUGACAGUUAAAUUUCAUCGUCUGUGCGGGUGUCCACAACCCCCUUCUGUGAUUGCGUGUGAGUUUGUGACUUGUGGUUAUUUUUGAAGAAAGAAAAUCUGUUGCUGAGGACUUCAGAGGGUGUGCUGGGAUUGUGUAGGGUGGACAUCGGGGGCUUCAGUCUGUGGCUUCCUUGAAGAGGUUCAAAUUAAGGCUGAGAGUCCCUACUCCAAAAUGCUCUGAAACCUGAAACAUUCCGAGCUUUCCCAUGACACUCGAAGGAAAUACUCUUCAGAGCACUUUGGAUUUCAGGCUGGGGAUGCUCAACUGGAAAGUGAAAUAUUGCAAGACCCUUCUGGCCCCAGGAGCUUGGAUAAGGACAUGGAGGGGGCCUGUGCCGGGUGUCCCUGGUGUGUGAGGCAGCCUGGGCUCGCUGGACUGGUUUUUGUAGGAGCCACAGAAGGGAAAGAGGGUCAAAGUGGCCACGCCUGACUCCUGAGAAGGCUGAACCAGAAGGAGGUGGGCACGGAGGGCAGCAGUUGAGUCCCCAGCGUCCGGGGCUCCUGUCCCUGGUGGAGUUGAGAGCCUCCUCUAGUUGUGGCCUCUCCCCUGUCAGCAGCCACUGAGGCCUGAAGGGAGAGGGGGCUGAGGAGAGGAGGGAAGGAUAGGCCUGCUUCUGGAGAGGGCCGGCGUCGGCCUGUGCUAGCCUCAUGUGCUACUCCGGCAUCCAGGGUGCACGGCCGUGCCUCGUGGUGUAGUGGUUCCUGGGAUGCACAGCACUCUUGUCUGCAGUAACGUCUUUGUCUCCAACCCUUGGAGGCAAGUUACCUUUUUCCCCAGUGAAAAGAGGUAGAAAAUCUUAUAGAAAUGCAUUUGCUCUAAUGUCUGUUUUCCGAUAAGAAGUGGUCGCUUAGGCUAAAUCUUUGGGAGGUCAAGACAGGAGGAUCACUUGAGGUGAAGGGGUUGAAGAUCAGCCUGGACAACAUAGCAAGACCCCAUCUGUAUAACAGAAAAAUUAGCUGAGUGUGGUGGUGCGUGCCUGUGGUCCCUGCUACUCUGGAGGCUGAGGUGGGAAGAUCACUUAAGGCUACAGUGAGCUGCGAUUGCUCCGCUGUACUCCAAUCUUGGCGACAGAGCCAAGACCCUGUCUCAGAAAGAAAAGUUAAAAAAAAAAAAAUCCAGAAAUGUCAUUUUCUUUUUAAAUCAUCCCAAAAGAAAAACCUUUUUUUCUAAGAAUGUGAAGGGUAACUGAUACGAUUCUUUCCUUGCAUUGUUUCUCCUUUUCAAAUAUUUACAGUAGUCCGUCCACAUCAUCUCUCAUCUCUCAUCUCAUUACAGAGCAGCAGGUUUCUUUGAGGUUAGUGGUGUUUCUCUGUGUUGCACCUUGGAGAACAGCCAGCAUGAAACCUCUUACCACGAUCAUGCGCAUUGUUUGUAGUCUCAAUUCAAAUCCUCUCCAGAGACGCCUGUGCUACUUAUUAUAGCAGAACUUUGGUUGCGCUGACAUGUGCAUUCAGCUAACGGUUUUAAGUUCAUAUCUGAGAUGAUGCUGUAUAAUUCAUGAAGCAUAUGGGAUCAGUAAUGAUUGAUGAUAAUUCUGGCUGAUGUCAUUUAGAGGAUAUUUUUCACUUCAAAUUAAAACUUCCUUCGCGAUAGUCAUUUUGGGAUUCAUUUAACUAUGUGCUUUAUUUCAUAGCUCAAAUUUUCAUUAGUCAUUUCAUAACACAGGAUUUUGAAAGCAGACUUGGCAAAAUCUUUCUAACAAAAUGUUUGCUUCUGACGUCCCAAGGAACAGCACUCAGAAUUGCUGGUAACUGUGGUACAUUUUAAGGCUGAUGAUAGAAGUCACUUGAACGGUAAGGGCUGCUUUGUGAGGCAGAUGGGGUUUGAACCCCGACCCUCCUGAUACACCAGUCCUGACCCUGGCCUUCUCUCCUCUCCACUGGGAGAUGAGAAGGGUGCCAGCAUCCACCUCACAGGCCGUCCUGAGAACCUGGGACUAAGGGCUUGUGUUCCUCUUGCAGGUGGCGCAGAUGUGGGAGCUUGACGAUAUACACACUGCAGGCUGCCAGUGUCGGGGUAAUCCAGUUUUAUUCAUAAAGGGGGGAUUUGCUUUGCUCCCCUGCAGACCAGGUGCAGUGCUGCUGUUGUAGCAAGUGUGUGGAUCCUCUUGGGUGGUCCUCAGGUGGACAAGGAGUCACCGAUUCGGAUUCCCAGUGUUAGAUAUGAGGGGACCAAGGACCUCAUGUGUUCAGAGGGGAGGAGUAAAAAGCUUCCCUUGUAAUUCCAGGACUGUCUAUCCCAGGAAUGCCAAACCACUGGCUUUCACCUGAUGCUGUCGUAGGUGACACUGUAUGGAAAUGAGGACUCAUAUUUCGCAUACCUGAGCACUCAGUGCCCAUCUCCCUCCAGGGCCGUGGCCGAGCCCU
Long non-coding RNA from Macaca mulatta (Rhesus monkey), 2978 nucleotides. NCBI's taxonomy places the organism in Eukaryota, Metazoa, Chordata, Mammalia, Primates, Cercopithecidae. The record is from Ensembl.